This is a long non-coding RNA of Micropterus dolomieu (smallmouth bass), 2281 nucleotides long. RefSeq lists it as uncharacterized. NCBI's taxonomy places the organism in Eukaryota, Metazoa, Chordata, Actinopteri, Centrarchiformes, Centrarchidae. The record is from RefSeq and is a predicted model, not a curated record. The transcript is spliced from 3 exons.
CAAUCAUCUUCUUUACCUGAUAUAUUUUUCAAUGCUGAUGAUAGUCGGUUCUCCAGGAGGUGCUGCAGGACUAGGCGGACGUGUUGGACAUAACACGAAAAGAAGCCAGCACCCACAGAAGACGAGGAGGGAUAUUGCCAGCUGUCCAAGAGUUCUUAAUAAAACUCUCAUCGGCGCCAGGGAUUGGAGCUGAUGGGACUGACCUUGAGAAGAGACGAUGGCGUGGAGCUGGGUGCGAGGACAAGGAGACAGGGGAAUAGAGGUUUGCCGAUAUACUGGUCUGGUCCCAUAUGCGUCAGCAGACCUCAGCUGCUGGCUUCUAUUUCGGACGUUGUGGGAGUUCUAUGGAAGUCUAUAGGAUUACUGUGCACGUUGGAAAGUGACGAAAAAAGGGCGCCUGGCGAGUUUAACAAGUGACGCCAAAGGGUCUUGACCAAGCAUCAAUAUGUGACGACUUGGGAUUGAGAAUGUGUUGCUCCAACAUGUCCACCCCACCCAAGUCACCCACCUUUAGCUUCAAACACAUGCACUCUCCUUACAGACACUGUCUCACACUUCCAAGGACAAUAUGUCAGGGACUUGUAAGCCUUGGACUGUACAACUGGAGGCUAACAACUUUAAAAGGAAAAAAAUUACUGCUAAAGUAAAAAAGUCUAAUAUUGUAUUAUUUUGUGCACUAGCUGUAUUUGAGGAAAUCUGAGACCAAACUUGAUUUAAGGGAGAAAUCUGCUGUUUACUUAGUCAUCAUAUGUAUGUAUUUAUGUCAGCAUGUAAAAACAUGGGAAAGCCACUUCUUGUAGUCUAGGCCUUAGAGCAGUGGUCAGCAAUAGGCGGCCCAUGUGCCAAAGUUGGCCCACCAGCAAUAAUAUCUGGCCUAUGGCUUUGAUAGUGGCCAAAAAAAAACAAAGAUUGCGGCUGUUGCUGGUUUCAGAUCGGAGUCAUGACAGCAAAAAAUUACUCACAUAAUCACUUCCUUUUAAGUGAUUGUGCCUAUAUAAUAAUUGUUUAUUUUGGCAACUUUAACACAUUGUUUUUGCAGCAGUAAUUUAUGUCAUGUUUAAUUGAAAGCUUUUACUUUGAAAAGUUCUGAAAGAAAUUCAAAAGAGUCUCUAGCUUGCUUGAUACACCUCUUAAAAAGCCAUCAGAAAACAGGAGAUUGGAUUCCCCUGAAUGAGAAACGCAGGAAUUUCCUCUGCCUACAAAUACUGGGGAAAUGAAAAUAAGCCCCAUAGGCUGAUGUGGACCUAUCGCCAGGACGCACACGCACUCCUGGACAUGCUUAAUUGUACUUGAUGUAAAUCAAUCUCUUCUAAUCAAUUUGUUGAAAAGGUAGGAAAACAAUGUUUGCAGCAAGUGGGGAUCACAACCCUUCUAAUGCGAGUCCUGUGCACUACUGACUGAGCUGACAAGGCACACAGUAAAUAAUGGAUCAUAAAUGAUCAAUUGACUAUAUUCUGGCCUGCCAUCUAUUGACUUGAAAAAAAUCUGGCUUGAUGCCAGACUUAUAGGCUGAACCCUGCCUUAGAGUUUAUAGGUUUAGAAAGUUUUUAACAGUGAUAGUACCACUUAAAGAGUAGAAUUCAGGCAUAUUUAGAUCAUGAUAUACAGUCACGUUGUGUUUUGUUGUCACCCGAGAUUAUUCUUUUCUUUACAUAAGUUGGUGAAGACCCCACAACUGUUUUUUAGGGCCUGAUAAAUAAAAUAAUGACUUGAAAAAGGGUGUACUUUCCAUAUGUCAGGGAUUCCAAAGCCUCAUUUUGUACCACUGGAGGCUUUCAACUUUAAAAGAAAAUAAUUGGUAUUCAAAAGUCCAAUUUAGUAUUUAGCUGUUUUUGAGGGAAUUAGAGACAAAACUUAAGAAAUCCGCUGUUUACUUUGCCAUCGGAUUGUUUACUUGGAGGCUAACUGUAAUAUGUGAUGGUAACUGAAUGUUUCCAAAAUGAUGUGCAGUCUUUAUCUUUACUUUCCUCCAGUAUAGCCAUGUUGCAGCAUCAACACAUUGUGAGGGAUGUGCUUGGACAGAUUGUUGAUGUUACAAGGAAGAGAACACAAUCGUGCUGGCCAUUUGUAUUCAUUUGAUGUUAGAAAAUGUUGUUAGAAGUAGCUGUGGAUAAUAUGUGAAGUGACAGAGGGAAUAUCCACUUGUUUUUUUGUGAGGAGUUCAUGAAUAAAUUGAUUGACUAAUAUAAUGAAAAGCUUGGUUGCCCAUCAGACUGAUGACUCAGAUUGUUAAAUUGGUGUUCUGGAAAAGACUGAACAAUGUGCUCACAGUACCCCCUUU